This is a long non-coding RNA of Zerene cesonia (dogface butterfly), 490 nucleotides long. RefSeq lists it as uncharacterized. The transcript is spliced from 3 exons. Lineage: Eukaryota; Metazoa; Arthropoda; Insecta; Lepidoptera; Pieridae. The record is from RefSeq and is a predicted model, not a curated record.
GCCGCGCCCGCGCGCGCGCCGCCCGCCGCCGCGCCGCCCGCGCCGCCGCCGGCGCUCGCCGUCAGGAUAUUCUAUCAGGCGAGCUGCGCACCAGACAGCGCGGUGCUAGUGGACGCGAUGCGCGCGGCGGCGGCCAGUGCCGGUAUGGGUACGGGUGCCGGUACGGGUGCGGGUGUCGGUACGGGUGCGGGUGCCGGUACGGGUGCGGGUGCCGGUACGGAUACCGGUCCCGGUACAGAAGCCGGUUCGGGGGCGCGCGUGUCGUGGACCGCGGUGCCGGUGCGCGCGCUGCACCACGCCUACUGCUUCCUGUCCAUCAGCGGCCUGCGCCUCGACGAGUGAACGGUACCCCAAAAAAGAAUUUCAAUGCAGAUGCUUUAUUGCCGUUUUAAUAUAUUUGCUGAAUAUUUUCAGUGUUUAUAAGAUUUUGUUAAUUAUGCUAACGAGUUUACUGUAUUUAAGUCAAAAUAUAUAAAUUAUUUUUAUUGCA